Molecule: non-coding RNA, 72 nt
Organism: Danionella cerebrum
Lineage: Eukaryota; Metazoa; Chordata; Actinopteri; Cypriniformes; Danionidae
Source: the annotation of a GenBank genome assembly
UCCAUGAUUGUAUAGUUGUUAGUACUCUGCUUUAUGGCCACAGCAAGCCUGGAUCGAAUCCGGGUCACGGCA